This 253-nucleotide ribosomal RNA is filed under the name uncultured Stenotrophomonas sp. RNAcentral describes it as "partial 16S ribosomal RNA". It matches the Rfam family "Bacterial small subunit ribosomal RNA", at positions 99 to 355 of the family's 1533-position model. Lineage: Bacteria; Pseudomonadati; Pseudomonadota; Gammaproteobacteria; Lysobacterales; Lysobacteraceae. The record is from RNAcentral.
CGGACGGGUGAGGGAUACAUCGGAAUCUACUCUGUCGUGGGGGAUAACGUAGGGAAACUUACGCUAAUACCGCAUACGACCUACGGGUGAAAGCAGGGGAUCUUCGGACCUUGCGCGAUUGAAUGAGCCGAUGUCGGAUUAGCUAGUUGGCGGGGUAAAGGCCCACCAAGGCGACGAUCCGUAGCUGGUCUGAGAGGAUGAUCAGCCACACUGGAACUGAGACACGGUCAGACUCCUACGGGAGGCAGCAGCC